UACGGAGGGUGCGAGCGUUGUCCGGAAUCAUUGGGCGUAAAGGGCGCGUAGGUGGCUUCUCAAGCGUGCGGUGAAAGCCUGGGGCUCAACCCCGGGUCGGCCGUGCGAACUGGGGGGCUUGAGCACUGUAGAGGCAGGCGGAAUUCCGGGUGUAGCGGUGGAAUGCGUAGAGAUCCGGAAGAACACCGGUGGCGAAGGCGGCCUGCUGGGCAGUUUAGCUGACACUGAGGCGCGACAGCGUGGGGAGCGAACAGG
Molecule: ribosomal RNA, 255 nt
Filed under: uncultured bacterium
Lineage: Bacteria
Description: partial 16S ribosomal RNA
Rfam family: Bacterial small subunit ribosomal RNA
Source: RNAcentral